Molecule: long non-coding RNA, 1375 nt
Filed under: Oryctolagus cuniculus (rabbit)
Lineage: Eukaryota; Metazoa; Chordata; Mammalia; Lagomorpha; Leporidae
Description: lncRNA (ENSOCUG00000031093.1)
Source: RNAcentral
CCCUCGGAGGCAGUGGUGAUUAUCACCCCCACCUCCUACAGGGGAAGACACCACGACUACUGGGGUCAAUACUCUGUCCCGAAGCACACAGCCAGCGAGACACAGAGCCAGAGCUUGAAUGCUGGGAUCUCUAAACUCUCGGGUAUCGAAGACCACCACACAGUCCAAACUGUGGGCUUUCUUAUCAAACCAAGAGUCCGCAUUUCACUCAGGGUCAAGUCCGCUCCAACCGGCACCUCUCAGCUGGUCCCAGCUGGCCAGGCCAGCACCCGCCUCCUCAGGCCACAGCGGUCAGGUCCGGGUCUGCCACCAGCCCCGAGACCCAAGUGGACACAGACUGAGGGGCCGAGGCGGGAAGCCGCAGCCCGCGCGAGACCUGAGCGCGCGACCCACGCGGGCUGCCGGGCUCCAGCCCCGACGUCGCGGGCCGGGCGCGCGCAGACCCGGGGCCGACGCCCCCGCCGCGCGGCCCCAGGCCCGCCCCCGCCCCUCGGAGGUUUUCGCUUUCGCUUUCCUGCCGCGGUCGUUGAGGAAAAUAAAGCGGCCGUGACCAGAGCCGGCGCAGUUGCGAUCCGGCCGAAGGGCUCGGGGGUGCGGCGGCGGCCCGCUCGGAACCGGGGUCCCCAGGGCCGCGGCCCGCGCCGGGCGAGAUGGCAGCACGCCCUGGACCUCCUUGCAAGGGAGGCCGCGCUGAGGCCGGACAGCAGAGAAAUGAGAAAAUGGACUCCCUUCUCCUGGAGAUGUGAAUGCCAGCCACCAGCUGUGGGUGCUAGAGUUCCCAACCGACUGGAGGCAAACAACAGCCACAGGGGGUCAAGUUCAAGGACAGAAAGGGAACAGAAGCCAGAGAAGGCCAUGCUGCCUGUUCUGAGUUGCAUCCCUCCCUCCCAUGACUCAGAGCCCUCUGCCUGGUUCCACAAUACCCCGGCCAUCACUAACAGAAAAAGCCACCCCAUCUGAUUCUUCAUAGUCCUUGAGGAACUGGGUAAGGCCACCUUGUCUCUCCCUCUGCCCCCAGGUGAGAUUACUCUUAAAAGAUUCAAAAGGGGACCAGUGUUGUGGUAUAGUGAAUGAAGCCACCACCUACAGUGCCAGCAUCCUAUAUGGGCUCCAGUUCAUGUCCUAGCUGUUCCACUUCUGACCCGGCUCUCUGCUAAUGUGCCUAGGAAAAGCAGCGGAAGAUGGCCCAAGUGUUGGGCUCCUGCCACCCAAGUUGAAGAACUGGAUGAAGCUCCUGGCUCCUGGCUUCAGCCUGGCCCAGCUCUAGGUAUUGUGACUAUCUGGGGAGUGAACCAGCAGAUAAAAGAUCUCUCUCUCCCUUUCUCUUGUAAGUCUUCCAAAUAAAUAAAGUUUUAAAAAAAAUUUAAGAAGAUCC